GACGAACGCUGGCGGCGUGCUUAACACAUGCAAGUCGAACGGAAAGGCUCCAGCUUGCUGGAGUACUCGAGUGGCGAACGGGUGAGUAACACGUUGGUAAUCUGCCCUGCACUCUGGGAUAAGCCUGGGAAACUGGGUCUAAUACUGGAUAUGACCUUUCUCCUUAUGGGGUUUGGUGGAAAGUUUUUCGGUUUAGGAUGAGCCCGCGGCCUAUCAGCUUGUUGGUGGGGUGAUGGCCUACCAAGGCGACGACGGGUAGCCGGCCUGAGAGGGUGAUCGGGCAAAUGGGGACUGAGAUAAGGCACAGACUCCAACGGGAGGCAGCAGUGGGGAAUAUGGCACAAUGGGCGGAAGCAUGAUGCAGCGACGCCGCGUGAGGGAUGACGGCCUUCGGGUUGUAAACCUCUUUAAGCAGGGACGAAGCGUAAGUGACGGUACCUGCAGAAGAAGCACCGGCUAACUAUGUG
RNAcentral lists this ribosomal RNA (467 nucleotides) under uncultured bacterium. Its description in RNAcentral is "partial 16S ribosomal RNA". It matches the Rfam family "Bacterial small subunit ribosomal RNA", at positions 28 to 507 of the family's 1533-position model. The record is from RNAcentral.